RNAcentral lists this ribosomal RNA (280 nucleotides) under Salmonella enterica subsp. enterica serovar Durham. Its description in RNAcentral is "partial 23S ribosomal RNA". It matches the Rfam family "Bacterial large subunit ribosomal RNA", at positions 2361 to 2640 of the family's 2925-position model. The record is from RNAcentral. Lineage: Bacteria; Pseudomonadati; Pseudomonadota; Gammaproteobacteria; Enterobacterales; Enterobacteriaceae.
AAGCCAGCUUGACUGCGAGCGUGACGGCGCGAGCAGGUGCGAAAGCAGGUCAUAGUGAUCCGGUGGUUCUGAAUGGAAGGGCCAUCGCUCAACGGAUAAAAGGUACUCCGGGGAUAACAGGCUGAUACCGCCCAAGAGUUCAUAUCGACGGCGGUGUUUGGCACCUCGAUGUCGGCUCAUCACAUCCUGGGGCUGAAGUAGGUCCCAAGGGUAUGGCUGUUCGCCAUUUAAAGUGGUACGCGAGCUGGGUUUAGAACGUCGUGAGACAGUUCGGUCCCUA